Molecule: ribosomal RNA, 886 nt
Filed under: uncultured bacterium
Lineage: Bacteria
Description: bacterial SSU rRNA
Rfam family: Bacterial small subunit ribosomal RNA
Source: RNAcentral
GAGUUUGAUCCGGCUCAGGAUGAACGCUGACAGAAUGCUUAACACAUGCAAGUCGACUGGAAUUCUCUUCGGAGUUAGUACGGUGGCGGACGGGUGAGUAACGCGUAAAGAAUUUGCCCUCUAGACUGGGACAACUAACCGAAAGGUUAGCUAAUACCGGAUAUUAUGAGACCUUGGCAUCAAGGACUUAUGAAAGCUAUAUGCGCUAGAGGAGAACUUUGCGUCCCAUUAGCUAGUUGGUAGGGUAAUGGCCUACCAAGGCAACGAUGGGUAGCCGGCCUGAGAGGGUGAACGGCCACAAGGGGACUGAGACACGGCCCUUACUCCUACGGGAGGCAGCAGUGGGGAAUAUUGGACAAUGGACCAAAAGUCUGGUCCAGCAAUUCUGUGUGCACGAUGAAGGUCUUCGGAUUGUAAAGUGCUUUCAGGUGGGAAGAAGAAAGUGACGGUACCACCAGAAGAAGCGACGGCUAAAUACGUGCCAGCAGCCGCGGUAAUACGUAUGUCGCAAGCGUUAUCCGGAAUUAUUGGGCGUAAAGCGAGUCUAGGCGGUUUGUUAAGUCAGAUGUGAAAAUGCGGGGCUCAACUCCGUAUGGCCUUUGAUACUGGCAAACUAGAGUACUGGAGAGGUGGGCGGAACUACAAGUGUAGAGGUGAAAUUCGUAGAUAUUUGUAGGAAUGCCGAUAGUGAAGACAGCUCACUGGACAGAUACUGACGCUAAAGCUCGAAAGCGUGGGGAGCAAACAGGAUUAGAUACCCUGGUAGUCCACGCCGUAAACGAUGUUCACUGGGUGUAGGGGGUCGAACCUCUGUGCCGAAGCUAACGCGAUAAGUGAACCGCCUGGGGAGUACGCACGCAAGUGUGAAACUCAAAGGAAUUGACGG